UUAUCUAUCAACUUUGACAAUUUAGACAUGUUACUUUUGGAACUGAGUAUUUUAUAAAGUACAAAUUAUUAUUUAAAAUUUUAAUUAAACGUACCAAUGUAAUCCUACCACUACGAGUAUAUCUAAUGUGUUGCUUAAUUUGUUCUCAGAGACAUAAGCGGUUCGUCCCAUGUAAGGAGAGAAUUAUAAAAAAGUCGACUUAUUUCUUAGGAUACUGUCGACUAACUAGAAUAUUCUACGAUCAAUCUGAAUCUUGGUUCUAUGAUUGUGAUUCGUUUCGCAAUGACAUCGACAGUUUCGUCAGCUUUGUUGGAAACGUAUUUCUCGAACCUAUAGAAAUAAAAACCAAUCGUUAUUUGUGUGAUGGAACAGCAGUUGAGAGUGGGUCGAUCGAUUCCACUGACUUAUUCUGGACUAUAUCCGUAACUGUAAGAUCUCGACAAAAUUUAAAUGGGACCACACGAGAAGCAUAAAAAGGAUCAUCAAUAUCGGUUCACCUUGAAAAUUUUUCAGAAGUAAGAACAACACACCAAAUUACAGUUGAAUUGAUAAGUUCCUCCUUUUUUAAAGUCGGUUAAAAAGACGAUUCAAGUUUAUUAUAUGUGAAUAGAUUAUAUAUAAUUUUAAUUUUAAAGUAUAGUGUCAUGGUUGUUAAAUUUUUAAUAAGUAAUUACUAAGCAGAGGAAUUUAUAAUUAUCAUUUUUAUCAUUCAUUGUUGCCUACGGAGAUCGGUUUAUAACGUGAUUUUAUAACGGUUUGAGAAUUACACGUGCGGUAUACUUUACCAGUCUAAUCGAUUUCUUGAAUAUUUAAUUCGAUAGUAGAUUUUUAGUUCAAUACGUUUCCGAUCAAUGUCAUUGGAAUUACCACUAAUUCGUAGUUACGAUAUAUUAAAAAAUAAAGUAUUCUAAAUUUUGAUAAACCAUUACUAUUAUAGCUAAGUAUUUAUCAUCUAAGAAUAAAUGGUAAAUGUAUUUCGACUAAGUGUUGACUAUGAGUAUCAUCUUCAACUCUCAAUGAAGCCUUCGUCAAACAAAUGAGGUACUUCUCUGUGGCCGCGUGGGUGCAUUCUUUCGUAAUUCGGAAUAAUUCGAUUGAUAUCUUUACUCUAUUAAAUGAAGCUUCAUACUUCUGUACAAGUUAGUUUUCUUUGUUAGACUUUUAUAAAAGUAAAAUAUAAAAAAAAGAAUUCAAUCGUUUCUUAUGGUAAGAAGCGGUAAUCAUGUUGUCAUUUCAUGGUAAUCAAUGAAAAAAACUCCUGUUUGACAUACACAUAUUUUUUCGCUACCCUGGUCGCUACCUUUCGUCCUAUGAUCGAAAUUCAAUUGUAAUUACUGACACCUAAAGAUUUAUUUCUUCAUUAUAUAUCUUAUGUUUUCUUAUUCGAGUCGUACCUGACAAAAUUACUAAAAAAAAACAAAAAUUACUUCAUUUUGGAAUCUCCCGAUCCACUAU
This is a long non-coding RNA of Bombyx mori (domestic silkworm), 1455 nucleotides long. RefSeq lists it as uncharacterized. The transcript has 2 exons. Lineage: Eukaryota; Metazoa; Arthropoda; Insecta; Lepidoptera; Bombycidae. The record is from RefSeq and is a predicted model, not a curated record.